AUUCAUAGAUGUUAGAAUAUUUUUUAAAAUAAGUUGACAGCACAGUCAAUUGCUCAAAAUUGUGAAACACAGUCAAGUAAAAAAGUCUUAAGAGAGCGACUUGUGAAAUUAGAGGCAUAACCAAAUUAAAACACACGUCAGCACUGACCGUGAAUUGGAUUUUACUUAAAUAUUAAUACAACCGAUAAUCUUAAAAGUAGUAUUCGAAUAAGAAAGUGAAAGAGUUGUUGAAGAGUGAAUUUCUCGAACGAUUAUAAAUAGUCUUGUCUAUACAAAUUCUGAUACAUAAAACUACAAUCAAGGGACUUAAAGCGUAGCAACUUGCAAAUAGUCAACAAUUUAAAUACGUAUUUUACUUCUUCAAAUUCGGCUUAAAUUUUUAAUAACAGAAAAGUUCGAUUGGAAAGAGAUUUGCAGUUGCAAUUAUAGCUGAAAAUAAUUAUAAAGUAAAGACAUGAAUAUUAAUUCCAAUACUUAAGCUGACCACAAAAUAACUGUGUCAAGUGGCAAUUGACUCUCUGAAUAUUUGAUGUUGUUUGUUUCAAUUUACUUAAAGUAGUUAUUAAAUAUGAACAAGGAUUUUGGAGCAUUUCAUUAUAUUUGGGCACACAUCGUGAUGAUGCCUCGAAGGCUAAACUAAAGUUGAAUUUCAAUUUCAAACAAGAAAACCGCAAGACAAAUGAAGUUAAGCGACCCCAAAUAGAAUUCAACACAAAAUUUCCAAAAUCAUUGCUCAAAGCUGCCACAGACGUUGCGCCUGUGUGUGAGGCAUGUUAAACAAUAAGUGGGUGGCAGUUUCACCAAGGUAGAGAGGGGUAAACGCGGAGUGAACCAAACGCACUUGUAGUUGUUGAAGCGUAUCAAACGGGCGUGUAAGAGGGUUUUAAUCUAUGCUCUGCAAAUUGUUGCUACAAAAGGAUUUUCAGUUAGCCCAAAACAACAGCUGAAGAGCCAAACGAGGUAGCUGGGGGAAUAAUGUGUCUACAACAUUCUAUAGGCAUGAAGAAGAAGGCUCAGACUCAGCUGAUGAACAAAAAUAAUAAACUGUAGCAAAACAUUGAAAACUGGGUUUUGCUGUUGGCUGUGUUGCCUGAUUUGAAAACAAUCUUGGCGAUGCCCUUGGCAACAACAGCGAGAGAGAAAACAACAGCAAUUUGUAAAAGAGUUGUGUAAAAGGGUUGGCUGAUUUCUGAGCUUGGCUGCUUAGUUUUUAUAAGCCCGUGUAAGCAGAUUUGAUCUUAAUACAAUGCAAAAUUAACAACAAUUUUCAAAGCUAAACAGCGGCUGACACAACAAGCAAAGUCAAUUUGUUAAGAGUACGAUAAUUGACACUGUGAAGUGGAAAGCUUCGUUUACCUGGAGUAGACAAUGCUUUUGAUUUUGAGAAUAUGGACGAGUGAGUUGCGAAUAAAAUGAUUUGCACAAAGUUUGCUUUUAUUUGAGACAGAAAUAUAAAUUGCAUUAAAAAGUUAGCUUAAGAAU
Drosophila sulfurigaster albostrigata is the source of this 1482-nucleotide long non-coding RNA. RefSeq lists it as uncharacterized. The transcript has 3 exons. The record is from RefSeq and is a predicted model, not a curated record. NCBI's taxonomy places the organism in Eukaryota, Metazoa, Arthropoda, Insecta, Diptera, Drosophilidae.